Molecule: long non-coding RNA, 339 nt
Organism: Mustela erminea (ermine)
Lineage: Eukaryota; Metazoa; Chordata; Mammalia; Carnivora; Mustelidae
Exons: 3
Source: RefSeq, a predicted model, not a curated record
ACAGUGAGAUAUUGCAUUUAAGAGUCUGAAGGCCAUGUGGGAAAGAAGAGAAGUGGCAAUUAUGUUUACAUGUGGAGAAAAAUACUCCAAGGUCUUCACACUUUUUCCAGGAGACCAAGAAAUGGCAAUUCAAAGGCAAAUGAGUUGUCACAAAGAAUUUCAGAGACUAAGCAGACACAAAGAAUACAGAAGAGGGAGGAAGAAUGUGGGGAGAGGCAGGGGGAGAGAAUCUCAAGUGGGUCUACACACAGUGAGCAGAGCCUAACACAAGACUCAAUCCCACUACUCUGAGAUCAUGACCUGAGCUGAAAUUAAGAGUCAGACACUUAAUGACUGAGC